CCUCUGUCUACCUGACAUCCCCCAGGCUAGAAUUAGUCCAGUUUAACCAACAGAUCGCUAGCUCCAAUACAGAAGCACACAUAAGAAUGUCAAACAGGAUAUGAGUAGAAAUGUUGGCUGAAAUGGAAAGACCAUGUUGGAGUCAAGAGAGAAAAGCCCUGAAAAGGCUUCAUUUCUGGAAGAAAGAGUUUUUCAACAGUUUCCAAGGUAAAACAGCAAAGGAAUCUCUUCCACCUGACCGAAAGGAGACCUUGUCGAAGAAGGAACAAUCGCUCGCCUCUCCUCCUGGCAGCAAUUAGUAUCAGUCACAGUUGGCUCCUCCUUCAAGGAAGAGAGAACGUAAGGGGAACUGAAGGGUGCCUGCCCUGUCACCUCUGUGUCUGGCUCAGUCAACUUAAAUCAUCUUCCUCAAACCUCUCUCUUAGGCAUUGGAACACACAGAAUUGUUUU
Molecule: long non-coding RNA, 450 nt
Organism: Suricata suricatta (meerkat)
Lineage: Eukaryota; Metazoa; Chordata; Mammalia; Carnivora; Herpestidae
Exons: 4
Source: RefSeq, a predicted model, not a curated record